UCCCUCUUAGCUCAGUUGGUAGAGCGCGUCACUAGUAUAGGGUAUGAACAUUGUCAUGACGAGGUCAGUCGUUCAAAUCGGCUAGCGGGAA
Non-coding RNA from Mycena latifolia, 91 nucleotides. The record is from the annotation of a GenBank genome assembly. NCBI's taxonomy places the organism in Eukaryota, Fungi, Basidiomycota, Agaricomycetes, Agaricales, Mycenaceae.